GAGAGCUUGCUCUUCUGAUUAGUGGCGAACGGGUGAGUAACACGUGAGUAACCUGCCCUUGACUCUGGGAUAAGCACUGGAAACGGUGUCUAAUACCGGAUACGAGCUUCAGCCGCAUGGCUAGGAGCUGGAAAGAAUUUUGGUCAAGGAUGGACUCGCGGCCUAUCAGCUAGUUGGUGAGGUAACGGCCCACCAAGGCGACGACGGGUAGCCGGCCUGAGAGGGUGACCGGCCACACUGGGACUGAGACACGGCCCAGACUCCUACGGGAGGCAGCAGUGGGGAAUAUUGCACAAUGGGCGAAAGCCUGAUGCAGCAACGCCGCGUGAGGGACGACGGCCUUCGGGUUGUAAACCUCUUUUAGUAGGGAAGAAGCGAAAGUGACGGUACCUGCAGAAAAAGCACCGGCUAACUACGUGCCAGCAGCCGCGGUAAUACGUAGGGUGCAAGCGUUGUCCGGAAUUAUUGGGCGUAAAGAGCUCGUAGGCGGUUUGUCGCGUCUGCUGUGAAAACCCGAGGCUCAACCUCGGGCCUGCAGUGGGUACGGGCAGACUAGAGUGCGGUAGGGGAGAUUGGAAUUCCUGGUGUAGCGGUGGAAUGCGCAGAUAUCAGGAGGAACACCGAUGGCGAAGGCAGAUCUCUGGGCCGUAACUGACGCUGAGGAGCGAAAGCAUGGGGAGCGAACAGGAUUAGAUACCCUGGUAGUCCAUGCCGUAAACGUUGGGAACUAGAUGUAGGGGCCAUUCCACGGUUUCUGUGUCGCAGCUAACGCAUUAAGUUCCCCGCCUGGGGAGUACGGCCGCAAGGCUA
This 810-nucleotide ribosomal RNA is filed under the name Rhodoglobus sp. IF5R2A. RNAcentral describes it as "bacterial SSU rRNA". It matches the Rfam family "Bacterial small subunit ribosomal RNA", at positions 74 to 896 of the family's 1533-position model. The record is from RNAcentral. Lineage: Bacteria; Bacillati; Actinomycetota; Actinomycetes; Micrococcales; Microbacteriaceae.